This is a long non-coding RNA of Cynoglossus semilaevis (tongue sole), 1920 nucleotides long. RefSeq lists it as uncharacterized. The transcript is spliced from 4 exons. The record is from RefSeq and is a predicted model, not a curated record. Lineage: Eukaryota; Metazoa; Chordata; Actinopteri; Pleuronectiformes; Cynoglossidae.
AACAGAAACCAUACCAACAGCAACCCAAACACCAGCACCUUCAAGUAACAUGUCUUCUGGACAUGUUUAUAGUAUGACAGUAGGACUUUUAAGGGAGGAAUAUUCAAAUGAGCUCAAUGACCCAAGCACUGAGCAAUAUAAAAACCUCAAAUAUCGAGUGGAAAAAUCUGUAAGUAUGAAUAAUUUGUCUUUAAUGAAUGUUAUAGGUGUAGCUUUGGAUAUUGAUUUUAAUAUUUGAAUUCAAAACUUUAUUUUACAGUGUGACAAAGUGUACAGAAACAAAUUUCCUAAACGUUUUGAUCACUGUAAAGUAAAGCAGUUCAGGUAAUACAUUUUCACUCAUGCUCUUAAUUUACUGCACAAAGCAUUUUACUGAUUCAUGUCCCAUGUGUUUCUAAUUCUUUAGAGCCUCCACACCCAAAAUCUCAAAAGCAACUGGAACUGAUGUAGAUUUAGAUAUCAUAUUCAAACCUGAGGUCUCCUCUUCAGAACUCCCAGAAAAUAGUGUUGUUGCCCAAACCAUACAGGCUGUAAAUGGGUCCAGUGGUGUGUUUAAUGUCACUAUAAAUCCCAGCUCUAUUCAAAUCACUUCAAGUCCAAAACCGACAACUGCUGCACCUACAAUUGUGAAGCCAACAACUAUUCCACCAGCAACUCCUACAUCUGCAUCUAGAGUGGUGUCUUUCAGGUCACUUAAAGAUAAUUUUACCCUGGAUCUGCUUGACUUAUCCUCUGUAUCUUUUAAAAACCGAGCUUCUAUGAUAAAGGGGCAGAUCGAGCCUCUAUGUAAAGAUGCAUUCCCCACCUCCUUCAUUUCACUGGAUGUUCUGGCAUUUGGGAAUGGUUCAGUCAUUACUUAUUUACGUCUCCAUUUUGUAAGCACAUCAGUUCCGAACAACACUGCGAUAAGAAAUGUCUUUCUACACGCCUCUUCAGUCGUCACAGGCUUUGACAUUGAAGGCAGCUCCAUCACUGUUGAUGGCAUUUGUAAGUAAUUCAAACUGGAUUUUUUUUUCUCUCAAACAAUGUCAACAAAUGUUUUCUCUUCACAGCUUCAAGAGGAGUAAACCAAAAGAUCAGCCUCAUCACUGCAAUAUGCCUUGCAAUUGUCUCAUGGCUCCUGUCAAGCCAACACUAGAAUUCGUGACAACUUUAUUUUGGAAGGAUAUUGUAACACAAACUUUCUGCAAUGGAAAGGGAUAAUGUUGGGAAAAUGUUAAGUUUAGUGUGGCACAUGUUGCACAUAUUCAAUUUAGCUAUUUCCCCUGAUCAGUCACAUCACAGGUGAUAGUUUAGUUAGGUCUGAUGAAGUGAUCACGAUUCGCCCAGAAAAUAAAAAAUGAAAGAAUAUCUAAAUGAAACCAAUCAUGGUGCAAUGAAAACAAAGUUUUUUGAAAAUGACAACUGUUGCACAAGGAUUGUAUGACUGGAUUCAUCCAUGCAGUGAUGAAACUUCACAGUUGUAUGAUAUGUACAGUAUAUGGUAAAUCUUAAGUUAAUGUAAUAGACUAUAUUACAGAAACCUUAUAUUAAGACAAUUUAUACACUUUUGCACUUUUCUUCCUAUUUGAAAUCGAAAUUGUACACAGACCCAUAUCUUGUUUUUUUUUUUUAGCAAUAGGAAACGUUAAACUACACUAUUUAAAAUAUAAUGGUUGGAAAUAAGCACCGUUACACAAAUACACCAGAAACAAAACAUAAUGUAACCAAGUAGUGAAUAUUUAUGGCUGUCUAAAAAUGUAUGUAUUAUUCAUGUUUUAAAUUGCAAGUUGAUUGUGAUCCCAAUGUUGCAUUGAUUUUUAUAUAAAAAGUGUAUUUAUUUAAUGAAAAAAAUAAUCAAUUUUUACUUGUUCUUUACUACUCAUUUUAUGUUGUUUUUCUGUACAAUUCUUUUGUGUAAGAACAAAAUAAUAAAAACAA